Molecule: ribosomal RNA, 243 nt
Filed under: uncultured bacterium
Lineage: Bacteria
Description: partial 16S ribosomal RNA
Rfam family: Bacterial small subunit ribosomal RNA
Source: RNAcentral
GAUCCUGGCUCAGGAUGAACGCUAGCUACAGGCUUAACACAUGCAAGUCGAGGGGAAACGAUAUUGGAAGCUUGCUUCCGAUAGGCGUCGACCGGCGCACGGGUGAGUAACGCGUAUGCAACCUGCCCGAUACCGGGGUAUAGCCCAUGGAAACGUGGAUUAACACCCCAUAGUACUUUUAUCCUGCAUGGGAUGUGAGUUAAAUGUUCAAGGUAUCGGAUGGGCAUGCGUCCUAUUAGUUAG